This 238-nucleotide long non-coding RNA is filed under the name Pan troglodytes (chimpanzee). RNAcentral's name for it is "long non-coding RNA NONPTRT007242". The record is from RNAcentral. Lineage: Eukaryota; Metazoa; Chordata; Mammalia; Primates; Hominidae.
GGGAUAACUAGCUAAUUAUUUGGAAAAAAGAAACACAUAUAGAAAUCAAAUUCCAGAUGGGUUUAUUUAAAUGGGAAAUUAAAUGUUCAAUGUGAAAAUUCAUUAUGUAGCAGGAUAUUCAAUGGGAAUGAUACUUUUCUGGUUUUUUUUUGCCAAUGGUGAGAGACCUGCCAGAACACAGCCUUGAUCUCGCAAGUCAUAUGGAGCAACAGGAAGACAGCCAUCUGCAAACCAGCAA